RNAcentral lists this ribosomal RNA (706 nucleotides) under gamma proteobacterium IMCC15175. RNAcentral describes it as "bacterial SSU rRNA". It matches the Rfam family "Bacterial small subunit ribosomal RNA", at positions 39 to 743 of the family's 1533-position model. The record is from RNAcentral. Lineage: Bacteria; Pseudomonadati; Pseudomonadota; Gammaproteobacteria.
GCGGCACGCCUAAUACAUGCAAGUCGAACGAGAAAGCACUUCGGUGUGAGUACAGUGGCGGACGGGUGAGUAACGCGUAGGAAUCUACCUAGUAGUGGGGGACAACUCGAGGAAACUCGAGCUAAUACCGCAUACGCUCUAUGGAGGAAAGUGGGGGAUCUUCGGACCUCACGCUAUUAGAGGAGCCUGCGUUAGAUUAGCUAGUUGGUGAGGUAAAGGCUCACCAAGGCUACGAUCUAUAGCUGGUCUGAGAGGACGAUCAGCCACACUGGAACUGAGACACGGUCCAGACUCCUACGGGAGGCAGCAGUAGGGAAUCUUGGGCAAUGGGCGAAAGCCUGACCCAGCGAUGCCGCGUGUGCGAAGAAGGCCUUAGGGUUGUAAAGCACUUUCAGUUGCGAAGAAAAGCUACGGUUUAAUAUGCCGUGGUCUUGACGUUAACAACAGAAGAAGUACCGGCUAACUCCGUGCCAGCAGCCGCGGUAAUACGGAGGGUACGAACGUUAAUCGGAAUUACUGGGCGUAAAGCGCGCGUAGGCGGUUUGAUAAGUGGGAUGUGAAAGCCCCGGGCUCAACCUGGGAACUGCAUUCCAAACUGUCAAACUAGAGUGUGGUAGAGGGAGGUAGAAUUUCCUGUGUAGCGGUGAAAUGCGUAGAUAUAGGAAGGAAUACCGAUGGCGAAGGCAGCCUCCUGGACCAACACUGA